GACUCUCGGCAACGGAUAUCUCGGCUCUCGCAUCGAUGAAGAACGUAGCGAAAUGCGAUACUUGGUGUGAAUUGCAGAAUCCCGUGAACCAUCGAGUCUUUGAACGCAAGUUGCGCCCGAGGCCUGCGAGCACGUCUGCCUGGUGUCA
RNAcentral lists this ribosomal RNA (148 nucleotides) under Salix viminalis (osier). It matches the Rfam family "5.8S ribosomal RNA". From Rfam's summary of the family: 5.8S ribosomal RNA (5.8S rRNA) is a component of the large subunit of the eukaryotic ribosome. Lineage: Eukaryota; Viridiplantae; Streptophyta; Magnoliopsida; Malpighiales; Salicaceae. The record is from RNAcentral.